Molecule: long non-coding RNA, 597 nt
Organism: Xiphias gladius (swordfish)
Lineage: Eukaryota; Metazoa; Chordata; Actinopteri; Istiophoriformes; Xiphiidae
Exons: 3
Source: RefSeq, a predicted model, not a curated record
AGCUGUCACCUCUGUCAGUGUUGGGUAUUGAACCGGCAACUCUUAAGCCUUUUCCAGCUGAGCAGGCCGCUGGCUAGUUAGCGUGAAAACACGCUUAAUUAGAGAGUAGGUGGCUUUUAACCUCGUAAAGUUGUGCGACGAGACUUUAAGUUGCUGAGCUUCUGACAUAAGUUACGUUAAAGGUUAGGUAACCACUGUAACAACUAGCUUAGCGGGCUAACAUGGCUUGUAGGGACAGAAAACUGAAAAGUCAUCUAUUUGUCUCUAUCGUUAGUAGAAACCAUUAAUCCCCAGCACACAAAUAUCACGUUUUCCCAGUGGAGUCUGGCCGUGCGUACUCUCCAAACGAUUUCACCGGACCAGAGCUGUUAGCUUAGCUGCUAGUCAGGCCCGGGGCCGCCUAUCUGCAAACACCUGUAUCCACGGGCCCCACGGCUUCAUGAGACCAGUCUGAUCCCUAUCCGGAAAACACACUCUGGUUAGCGGUGACACUGGCUGAAGGUUCGUGUCAUGGGACAGGACGGACGGCAGCAGGACGCAGAGAGACGAGCGGAGAUUUGGAUGCAUGGAAUAAAAGAUGUAGUAGACACUUUCAUU